UACGGAGGAUGCGAGCGUUAUCCGGAUUUAUUGGGUUUAAAGGGUGCGUAGGCGGAACAUUAAGUCAGCGGUAAAAUCGAGGGGCUCAACCCCUUUAAGCCGUUGAAACUGGUGAUCUUGAGUGGGCGAGAAGUAUGCGGAAUGCGUGGUGUAGCGGUGAAAUCCGUAGAUAUCAAGAGGAAUACUCAUUGCGAAGGCGACCUACUGGAACAUUACUGACGCUCAUGCACGAAAGCGUGGGGAGCAAACAGG
RNAcentral lists this ribosomal RNA (252 nucleotides) under uncultured Bacteroidales bacterium. Its description in RNAcentral is "partial 16S ribosomal RNA". It matches the Rfam family "Bacterial small subunit ribosomal RNA", at positions 524 to 776 of the family's 1533-position model. The record is from RNAcentral. Lineage: Bacteria; Pseudomonadati; Bacteroidota; Bacteroidia; Bacteroidales.